Chlorocebus sabaeus (green monkey) is the source of this 97-nucleotide unclassified non-coding RNA. It matches the Rfam family "Y RNA". From Rfam's summary of the family: Y RNAs are components of the Ro ribonucleoprotein particle (Ro RNP), in association with Ro60 and La proteins. The Y RNAs and Ro60 and La proteins are well conserved, but the function of the Ro RNP is not known. NCBI's taxonomy places the organism in Eukaryota, Metazoa, Chordata, Mammalia, Primates, Cercopithecidae. The record is from Ensembl.
GACUGGUUCAAGUGGUAUUUACAACUAAUUGAUCACAACCAGUUACAGAUUUCUUUGUUCCUUCUCCACUCUCACUGCUUUACUUGACUAGCCUUAA